Long non-coding RNA from Magnolia sinica, 718 nucleotides. RefSeq lists it as uncharacterized. Lineage: Eukaryota; Viridiplantae; Streptophyta; Magnoliopsida; Magnoliales; Magnoliaceae. The record is from RefSeq and is a predicted model, not a curated record. The transcript is spliced from 2 exons.
ACUGCUGGAUUCUGCCAGCUUCCAGCUUCCAUCCCUGAAAGUAUUUGAGAUGUGUGCACCGUCUCAUAUUUGAAUCCCCUUUCCUGUGACAAAUCUGAAAAACUUGGAUUUUUUUAUUUUUUAUUUUAUUUUUAAUCCCAUAUUCUGUCAUUCCUAACACACCUUUGGAAUUUUAAAUUUGGAGAAAAUGAGGAGGUAUGGCCAGAAUGACCCCCUCAGUUCAUGGAGAUUGCCAGAGUGGAUUAAAGGUAAAAGAUUCUUUGCUUUUGGUGUUAAACCAAAAAAUGGUAACACCUAUUUGAGAUUGGACUAUUGGCAGCAACGAAAGCCUGCUAAACAAUGUAAGAAAAACAAGGAAAGAAACUAACUGUUAAUAAAAACCCACUUAACUUCCACUAACGAGCUCAACAAUGUAUAUCCAUCCCAAGAAAAUACAAGCAGGACUACAUCUCCAACUCAUCUAUGAAAGGCUGAAAACCAAUCACCACCGUUAAGGGCCUGCAGUUCUAUAGAUAGCAACUCAUUUAUUCCUGCAACAACCUGCUACAGCCUACAGCUAGGCAAAGGUAGUGGAGUAAGAUAUGUGGGUCCACUAAAUUCGCUUAACAAUUGGAUGAAUGUAGUAAGUAGUAACUAUGAGUUGGUUCGAUCAUGUUGCUCCAUGGAUGGUGAUCUUUGACGCAACAUUUAGGUCUCAGGUGUGAUCCCAAUUUACCUA